RNAcentral lists this ribosomal RNA (493 nucleotides) under uncultured bacterium. RNAcentral's name for it is "bacterial SSU rRNA". It matches the Rfam family "Bacterial small subunit ribosomal RNA", at positions 107 to 598 of the family's 1533-position model. The record is from RNAcentral.
UGAGUAACACGUAUCCAACCUACCGUUUACUACGGGAUAGCCUUCUGAAAAGGAGAUUAAUACCGUAUGGUAUUCUAAAGUUUCAUGACAUUAGAAUUAAAGGUUUACCGGUAAUCGAUGGGGAUGCGUUCCAUUAGAUAGUAGGCGGGGUAACGGCCCACCUAGUCAGCGAUGGAUAGGGGUUCUGAGAGGAAGGUCCCCCACAUUGGAACUGAGACACGGUCCAAACUCCUACGGGAGGCAGCAGUGAGGAAUAUUGGUCAAUGGACGAGAGUCUGAACCAGCCAAGUAGCGUGAAGGAUGACUGCCCUAUGGGUUGUAAACUUCUUUUAUAAAGGAAUAGAGUAGUCCACGUGUGGAUUUUUGUAUGUACUUUAUGAAUAAGGAUCGGCUAACUCCGUGCCAGCAGCCGCGGUAAUACGGAGGAUCCAAGCGUUAUCCGGAUUUAUUGGGUUUAAAGGGAGCGUAGAUGGAUUUUUAAGUCAGUUGUGAA